AUUUUAUUUCCCCAAUAAAAUGCUUUCAAUUUGUAACAGAUGAAGUGGUUUCUACAUAUAUUCGUUUUUUCCAAACUCAUUUUUCUUUCCACUAGCCAUUUUGUUGAUCUGCUUCACGUGGAUGAUUGUCGAUUUUGGCAAUAUGUUGCCACAUCAACACAGCAAGAAAAAGAGCAUCCUUCAGUUAUACAAGUGUGGAUUAAGAGGCUGGGGUUCAGUAUUUUUUGAUAUGGUUCUAAGAAGGGUGAGAUUAUGUUUAGAGACCUAAUACAUGCAUCUUUCUCCUGCAAAUUCAUGCAGAAAAUAAUUCUUAUGUGUUGCAGGUGAUUAUCAAUAAAGCAAAUUGAUCACUGCUGCA
RNAcentral lists this long non-coding RNA (358 nucleotides) under Phoenix dactylifera (date palm). Its description in RNAcentral is "long non-coding RNA (PDAC_LNC001275)". The record is from RNAcentral. Lineage: Eukaryota; Viridiplantae; Streptophyta; Magnoliopsida; Arecales; Arecaceae.